AACGAACGCUGGCGGCAUGCCUAACACAUGCAAGUCGAACGAGAUCUUCGGGUCUAGUGGCGCACGGGUGCGUAACGCGUGGGAAUCUGCCCUUUGGUUCGGAAUAACAGUUGGAAACGACUGCUAAUACCGUAUAAUAUCUCCGGAUCAAAGAUUUAUCGCUGAGGGAGCGGCCCGCGUCUGAUUAGCUAGUUGGUGAGGUAAUGGCUCACCAAGGCUACGAUCAGUAGCAGGUCUGAGAGGAUGAUCUGCCACACUGGGACUGAGACACGGCCCAGACUCCUACGGGAGGCAGCAGUUAGGAAUAUUGGACAAUGGGGGAAACCCUGAUCCAGCCAUGCCGCGUGUGUGAUGAAGGCCCUAGGGUUGUAAAGCACUUUCGUUGGGGAUGAUAAUGACCGUACCCAAAGAAGAAGCCACGGCUAAAUUCGUGCCAGCAGCCGCCGCGG
This 449-nucleotide ribosomal RNA is filed under the name uncultured bacterium. RNAcentral's name for it is "partial 16S ribosomal RNA". It matches the Rfam family "Bacterial small subunit ribosomal RNA", at positions 29 to 523 of the family's 1533-position model. The record is from RNAcentral.